UAUCCUGUCUGAAUAUGGGGGGACCAUCCUCCAAGGCUAAAUACUCCUGACUGACCGAUAGUGAACCAGUACCGUGAGGGAAAGGCGAAAAGAACCCCGGCGAGGGGAGUGAAAAAGAACCUGAAACCGUGUACGUACAAGCAGUGGGAGCACCCUUUGGGGUGUGACUGCGUACCUUUUGUAUAAUGGGUCAGCGACUUAUAUUCUGUAGCAAGGUUAACCGAAUAGGGGAGCCGGAGGGAAACCGAGUCUUAACCGGGCGUUAAGUUGCAGGGUAUAGACCCGAAACCCGGUGAUCUAGCCAUGGGCAGGUUGAAGGUUGGGUAACACUAACUGGAGGACCGAACCGACUAAUGUUGAAAAAUUAGCGGAUGACCUGUGGCUGGGGGUGAAAGGCCAAUCAAACCGGGAGAUAGCUGGUUCUCCCCGAAAGCUAUUUAGGUAGCGCCUCGUGAAUUCAUCUCCGGGGGUAGAGCACUGUUUCGGCUAGGGGGCCAUCCCGGCUUACCAACCCGAUGCAAACUGCGAAUACCGGAGAAUGUUAUCACGGGAGACACACGGCGGGUGCUAACGUCCGUCGUGAAGAGGGAAACAACCCAGACCGCCAGCUAAGGUCCCAAAGUCAUGGUUAAGUGGGAAACGAUGUGGGAAGGCCCAGACAGCCAGGAUGUUGGCUUAGAAGCAGCCAUCAUUUAAAGAAAGCGUAAUAGCUCACUGGUCGAGUCGGCCUGCGCGGAAGAUGUAACGGGGCUAAACCAUGCACCGAAGCUGCGGCAGCGACGCUGAUGCGUUGUUGGGUAGGGGAGCGUUCUGUAAGCCUGCGAAGGUGGCCUGUGAGGGUUGCUGGAGGUAUCAGAAGUGCGAAUGCUGACAUAAGUAACGAUAAAGCGGGUGAAAAGCCCGCUCGCCGGAAGACCAAGGGUUCCUGUCCAACGUUAAUCGGGGCAGGGUGAGUCGACCCCUAAGGCGAGGCCGAAAGGCGUAGUCGAUGGGAAACGGGUUAAUAUUCCCGUACUUGGUGUUACUGCGAAGGGGGGACGGAGAAGGCUAUGUUGGCCGGGCGACGGUU
This 1069-nucleotide ribosomal RNA is filed under the name Salmonella enterica. RNAcentral's name for it is "partial 23S ribosomal RNA". It matches the Rfam family "Bacterial large subunit ribosomal RNA", at positions 430 to 1503 of the family's 2925-position model. Lineage: Bacteria; Pseudomonadati; Pseudomonadota; Gammaproteobacteria; Enterobacterales; Enterobacteriaceae. The record is from RNAcentral.